GAGCUUUCCACUUAGGACUCCUGGAAGGGAAAGCCCCAGUUGCCCUUGCCCUCUGGGGCUCGGCGGUGGCGGGUUCUGCUAGCAAGGCAGGUCUUGCGGAGCCGUGCUCAGCUCCCGGGGGCGGGACCGAGCCGCUCCCUCCGCCCCACAAAUUGCUGCCACUGCCUCAGCCCAGCGCUCAGACGCCGCCGCAUCCCACGGCAGAGGCGGCCGCGAGCUCGAGCAGCGUCGCACCCGGGUGCCGCAGAGAGGCCGGCAGGCGACACCGCGAGGGACCUGGCUAGGCGCCGCUCGCAUCUCCUGCGCGCAGCUGGGGUCAUGAUAUACUGAAAACCACGCAAGAUAAGUCUGGGGAGGAAAGAAACCAUAAAGUCACGGAGAACACAUCCAGGCAGGACGGAUACAGGCAGGAAAGAAAGAUUUUCAGCUUCACCCUUCACUUGUCGUAGAAAGAACAGCACCUUUUAAUC
This is a long non-coding RNA of Phodopus roborovskii (desert hamster), 470 nucleotides long. RefSeq lists it as uncharacterized. Lineage: Eukaryota; Metazoa; Chordata; Mammalia; Rodentia; Cricetidae. The record is from RefSeq and is a predicted model, not a curated record. The transcript has 3 exons.